Molecule: unclassified non-coding RNA, 421 nt
Filed under: soil metagenome
Description: partial contains 5.8S ribosomal RNA, internal transcribed spacer 2, and large subunit ribosomal RNA
Rfam family: 5.8S ribosomal RNA (bases 1-120)
Source: RNAcentral
GAUGAAGAACGUAGCGAAAUGCGAUACGUAAUGUGAAUUGCAGAAUUCAGUGAAUCAUCGAAUCUUUGAACGCAUAUUGCGCUCUUUGGUAUUCCGAAGAGCAUGCUUGUUUGAGUAUCAGUAAACACCUCAACCUCUUCUUGAUUUUUCAAAAGGAGGGUGGACUUGAGCUAUCACAACAACCUUUACCGGUCGGCGGGCGGCUUGAAAUGCAGGUGCAGCUGGACUUUUAUCUGAGCUAAAAGCAUAUCUAUUUAGUCCUCGUCAAACAGGAUUAUUACUUUUGCUGCAGCUAACAUAAAGGAUAAUUGUCCUCUUUGCUGACUGAUGCAGGAUUUUACGACACUUUAUGUGUUGUUCAACUCGAUCUCAAAUCAAGUAAGACUACCCGCUGAACUUAAGCAUAUCAAUAAGCGGAGGA